Molecule: small nuclear RNA, 191 nt
Filed under: Dasypus novemcinctus (nine-banded armadillo)
Lineage: Eukaryota; Metazoa; Chordata; Mammalia; Cingulata; Dasypodidae
Description: U2 spliceosomal RNA (ENSDNOG00000040366.1)
Rfam family: U2 spliceosomal RNA
About the family: U2 is a small nuclear RNA (snRNA) component of the spliceosome (involved in pre-mRNA splicing).
Source: RNAcentral
AUCGCUUCUCGGCCUUUUGGCUAAGAUCAAGUGUAGUAUCUGUUCUUAUCAGUUUAAUAUCUGAUAUGUUCUCUAUUUGAGAACAUCAUGUUAAGUUGGUUUUUGGAACAGAGAGUUGGAAAAGGAGCUUGCUCCAUCCAUUCCACGCAUCAGCUUGGUAUUGCAGUAUUUCCAAGAAUGGUGCAUUCCCC